GAUGAACGCUGGCGGCGUGCCUAAUACAUGCAAGUCGAGCGAACGGACGAGAAGCUUGCUUCUCUGAUGUUAGCGGCGGACGGGUGAGUAACACGUGGAUAACCUACCUAUAAGACUGGGAUAACUUCGGGAAACCGUAGCUAAUACCGGAUAAUAUUUUGAACCGCAUGGUUCAAAAGUGAAAGACUGUCUUGCUGUCACUUAUAGAUGGAUCCGCGCUGCAUUAGCUAGUUGGUAAGGUAACGGCUUACCAAGGCAACGAUGCAUAGCCGACCUGAGAGGGUGAUCGGCCACACUGGAACUGAGACACGGUCCAGACUCCUACGGGAGGCAGCAGUAGGGAAUCUUACGCAAUGGGCGAAAGCCUGACGGAGCAACGCCGCGUGAGUGAUGAAGGUCUUCGGAUCGUAAAACUCUGUUAUUAGGGAAGAACAUAUGUGUAAGUAACUGUGCACAUCUUGACGGUACCUAAUCAGAAAGCCACGGCUAACUACGUG
Molecule: ribosomal RNA, 497 nt
Filed under: uncultured bacterium
Lineage: Bacteria
Description: partial 16S ribosomal RNA
Rfam family: Bacterial small subunit ribosomal RNA
Source: RNAcentral